Molecule: unclassified non-coding RNA, 364 nt
Filed under: uncultured fungus
Lineage: Eukaryota; Fungi
Description: partial contains ITS1, 5.8S rRNA and ITS2
Source: RNAcentral
AACGCAAAUUGCGCUUUCCGGAUAGGCCGGGGAGCAUGCCUCUUUGAGUCUCGUUUCUACCUCAUCUCGAAUGCUUUUUUGUGAAUAACGAAGAAUGCAGUCGGAUAAUGAGCGUCUCAUUCGAAAUGAGUGAGUCGCUUUAAGAAGCGUGAGUUCCUAAACUCCUAGUUUGAAGUCGAUUUAUCGGCUGCCUUUUGAUAGGUAAUUACAACUAGUGACGUGGAUAAAUUUAUUUUUCAACGUCGCAUGGUUAUAAUGAUCUGUCUUAAUGGUUAACUUACAUAAGGAAACCUGGUUCUCAAUGGAAAUUAAAUUCUUUUUUGAAUUAGAGCUCAAAUGAAGCAAGAUUACCCGCUGAACUUAA